Molecule: transfer RNA, 86 nt
Filed under: Streptomyces filipinensis
Lineage: Bacteria; Bacillati; Actinomycetota; Actinomycetes; Kitasatosporales; Streptomycetaceae
Description: tRNA-Gln
Source: RNAcentral
GGCUGGUGGUGGCGGGCGGCGGCGCUCGGCGCGCUGAACAUCGGGGUCUUCUUCCCGCUGCUGUUCGUGUCGGCGUACCGGCUGCC